CAGUCGCCGCGGUAAUACAGAGGGUGCGAGCGUUAAUCGGAUUUACUGGGCGUAAAGCGUGCGUAGGCGGCUUCUUAAGUCGGAUGUGAAAUCCCUGAGCUUAACUUAGGAAUUGCAUUCGAUACUGGGAAGCUAGAGUAUGGGAGAGGAUGGUAGAAUUCCAGGUGUAGCGGUGAAAUGCGUAGAGAUCUGGAGGAAUACCGAUGGCGAAGGCAGCCAUCUGGCCUAAUACUGACGCUGAGGUACGAAAGCAUGGGGUGCAAACAGGAUUAGAUACCCCCGUAGUCCCUGUCUCUUAUAC
Molecule: ribosomal RNA, 301 nt
Filed under: uncultured bacterium
Lineage: Bacteria
Description: partial 16S ribosomal RNA
Rfam family: Bacterial small subunit ribosomal RNA
Source: RNAcentral